UACGUAGGGGGCAAGCGUUGUCCGGAUUUAUUGGGCGUAAAGGGCGCGUAGGCGGCCUGGCAAGUGACGGGUGAAAGCCCUCGGCUUAACCGAGGAACUGCCUGUCAGACUGUUAGGCUUGAGACCGGGAGAGGUGAGUGGAAUUCCCAGUGUAGCGGUGAAAUGCGUAGAUAUUGGGAGGAACACCAGUGGCGAAGGCGGCUCACUGGACCGGUACUGACGCUGAGGCGCGAAAGCGUGGGGAGCAAACAGG
RNAcentral lists this ribosomal RNA (253 nucleotides) under uncultured bacterium. Its description in RNAcentral is "partial 16S ribosomal RNA". It matches the Rfam family "Bacterial small subunit ribosomal RNA", at positions 524 to 776 of the family's 1533-position model. The record is from RNAcentral.